GACGAACGCUGGCGGCGUGCUUAACACAUGCAAGUCGAGCGGUAAGGCCCUUCGGGGUACACGAGCGGCGAACGGGUGAGUAACACGUGAGUCAUCUGACUAUCACUUCGGGAUAACUCCGGGAAACCGGUGCUAAUACCGAAAAAGACCACUUCAUGCACCUGAUGGUGGUGUAAAGUCCCGGCGGUGUUGGAUGAGCUCGCGGCCUAUCAGCUUGACGGUGGGGUAGUGGCCUACCAGGGCUUCGACGAGUAGCCGGCCUGAGCGGGUGACCGGCCACGGUGGGACUGGGACACAGCCCAGACUCAUACGGGGGGCAGCGGUGGGAAAGGGGAAUCAAGGAGAAAGAGCGUAAUCCAGAAGCGCCGCGUGAGGGAUAACGGCCUGCGGGUUGUGUACCUAUUUCCGCUGGGACGAAGAGCAAGUGACGGUACCUGAAGAAGAAGCACCGGCUAACUACGUG
This 463-nucleotide ribosomal RNA is filed under the name uncultured bacterium. Its description in RNAcentral is "partial 16S ribosomal RNA". It matches the Rfam family "Bacterial small subunit ribosomal RNA", at positions 28 to 507 of the family's 1533-position model. The record is from RNAcentral.